This is a non-coding RNA of Coffea arabica (coffee), 872 nucleotides long. Lineage: Eukaryota; Viridiplantae; Streptophyta; Magnoliopsida; Gentianales; Rubiaceae. The record is from RefSeq and is a predicted model, not a curated record.
GAGGACUGCAGAGUCCAUUGCCAUCAGGAAAUGUCAAUAUAAGGAUGUCCCACAUUCUUAGUGUAGACAGACCAACAAAAUUGUCAGAGCAGUGCAUGAAUAAGCAUAUACGACACAAAAGGGAAAAGAAAGAAAAAAGAGAAAUAAGCGGAGCCACCGCAUAAGUACAAAGGACCUCCUGUAAAAGAAGCAAAAGGUGGUUUCGGAAGAUGCAAGACAAGCUGGAAAAGUAAACACCAAUACUGAUCAGAAUAGGGCUCCAACCAUAAAGCUCGGAGGAAAGAGACCAUGUCCGGCGUCCAUUAACUUACUAGGCAUGUAAAAUUGCCCUAAUGAAUAUUAGAACUCAGGUAACGCAAAUUAUACAUGCAAAUUCAUCGUGUAAGUUCCAGGACAACUACUUUUCAGUUACCAAGCACAUAGCACAUGCAAGGAAGACAACCCGGAACACAGGAAGAUUGUGCAUUCCCUCUGCGAUGCAGCAAAAGCCACAACCAGAAUUUGUGACCUGAUCCUGUACAAUUCAUGUGCAAUCUCCAAAACAACAUACGCACCACAAUCAGAUCCAGAUGUUGAACGACAUACGUCAUGCAACUUCUUUGGAUUAGACAAAUAGAAAGCAUCCUCAUACUCGAGGAUAAGCACCACAUCUGGAUUUUAUGUCAUGACUGGAAGAAGGAGAGAAAUUAGUGCCACGAGUCUCAAGCCCAUAGGAUGAUUCUGAUUCCCUUACGGUUGAUGUGGUAUUGGAUGUGACACUACCAAUACAUUUCUUCGAGUCAUCAGAAGAUCUAUCUUCGGCACUUCCAUCUGAAUCACUGUCUGCCAACUCUUCAUGGUCGUGUUCGUGUGUAUCAGAAACCUGAAGACUC